AUGUACUUCUGGAACCUAACCUAUAGAGACAUUGUUUUAUCGCAAGCUACAAUUGAAAUUUUGUGAAAUUUCUCUUUAAGUUUAACUCUUUAAGUUCUUUACUACAGAGAAUGUCCACUAAAGUCCGCAGAUUUGAUUCUCAUGUACCUAUUGCCAACCAAAUGUAUUGGUUUUUCUCUUUAUAGGAGUGCCUCACAAAAUGGCAGCUUUUGGUUUGAAGCAGUUAUUGGAUGAUAUUGGAUGCAGGUUUCUAACAUGAAAUUCGAUAGAUAGUUAUUUUUGUAGUUUCAAAGAUGUUUGGUUUCUUUUUCCUUUUUCUGUGAUGGUCAAAGGAAUAAAAUGUUAUUAACAGUGAAAAUGUAAAACCCUAAAUAAAGAUUCAAGGCUAUACAACAGUGACUUUAAAGUUGUACAGAAAUUUAUUGAGAAAUGUAGAAGUUGAGAUUGACCAAGUGCUAUUUUGAAUGGCUACUUUAACAUAGCGGUGUGAUAUUUUUCCUUGUAUGUUCACUACUUUCAAAUAAUUUAUAUGUUUAAAAUAACUUUA
Molecule: long non-coding RNA, 547 nt
Filed under: Mus musculus (house mouse)
Lineage: Eukaryota; Metazoa; Chordata; Mammalia; Rodentia; Muridae
Description: long non-coding RNA chr7:26255079-26255626
Source: RNAcentral